CAAAGAUUAAGCCAUGCAUGUCUAAGUAUAAGCAAGUCUAUACAGUGAAACUGCGAAUGGCUCAUUAUAUCAGUUAUAGUUUAUUUGACUGUACCCCUUACUACUUGGAUAACCGUGGUAAUUCUAGAGCUAAUACAUGCGUCAAUGCCCAACUUUUUGGAAGGGCAGCAUUUAUUAGGUAUAAAACCAGACCGCCCUUGGGCGGAUUCCGGUGAAUCAUAAUAACUGAGCGAAGGUGCCUGUAUAGGGACGCUGGGUCAUUCAAAUUUCUGCCCUAUCAACUGUCGAUGGUACGGUAGUGGCCUACCAUGGUGACAACGGGUAACGGGGAAUCAGGGUUUGAUUCCGGAGAGGGAGCCUGAGAAACGGCUACCACUUCUAAGGAAGGCAGCAGGCGCGCAAAUUACCCAAUGCCGAUACGGUGAGGUAGUGACAAUAAAUAACAACCCAGGGCCCUUGUGGUCUUGGGAUUGCAAUGAGUACAAUUUAACACCUUAACGAGGAACAAUUAGAGGGCAAGUCUGGUGCCAGCAGCCGCGGUAAUUCCAGCUCUAAUAGUGUAUAUUAAAGUUGCUGCAGUUAAAAAGCCCGUAGUCGGAGUGUGGGGUUGGUUGGGCAGUUGGCCGGGGCCUUUUGGUUCCGUGCCAUGUAAUGCCUACCCCCCAAAUCAUUCCUGGCUUGGCCAGCCUGCCCUUUACUGGGUGGGCUGGAGUUUCCGGCCAGGACUUUUACCUUGAAAAAAUUAAGUGUUCAAAGCAGGCAUCUGGCUUGAAUAGAUUAGCAUGGAAUAAUAGAAUAGGACUUGGGUCUUGUUUUGUUGGUUUUACGGGGCCCGGGUAAUGAUUAAUAGGAACAGUUGGGGGCAUUUGAAUUGAGUGGUUAGAGGUGAAAUUCUUGGAUCCACUCAAGUCAAACUACUGCGAAAGCAUUUGCCCAGCAUGUGUCCAUUGAUCAAGGACGAAAGUCAGGGGAUCGAAGACGAUUAGAUACCGUCGUAGUCUUGACCAUAAACUAUGCCGACUGGGGAUGGGCUCCCACAAUUUGGGGUGGUCCGGACUCUAUGGAGAAAUCAAAGUGUUUGGGUUCCGGGGGGAGUAUGGUCGCAAGGCUGAAACUUAAAGGAAUUGACGGAAGAGCACCACCAGGAAUGGAGCCUGCGGCUUAAUUUGACUCAACACGGGGAAACUCACCAGGUCCAGACAUAGUGAGGAUUGACAGAUUGAUAGCUCUUUCUUGAUUCUAUGGGUGGUGGUGCUGGCCGUUCUUAGUUCGUGGAUUCAUUUGUCUGGUUAAUUCCGAUAACGAACGAGACCUUAACCUGCUAAAUAGACCGGCUUGCUCUUUGAGCAGGCUUGGGACUUCUUAGAGGGACUGCUGGCGAAAAGCCAGCGGAAGUUUGAGGCAAUAACAGGUCUGUGAUGCCCUUAGAUGUUCUGGGCCGCACGCGCGCUACACUGAUGAGGUCAGCGAGUUAGGGCUUCUGCCCGCUUCCUUGCCUGACAAGGCUGGUAAUCACUAAACCUCAUCGUGCUGGGGAUAGUCCUUUGCAAUUUUCGGACUUGAACGAGGAAUUCCUAGUAAUCGCAAGUCAUCAGCUUGCGAUGAUUACGUCCCUGCUCUUUGUACACACCGCCCGUCGCUACUACCGAUUGAAUGGCUUAGUGAGUCCUCCGGAUUUGCUGGACACGCCCUCACCGGCUGUCCGGCGAAGAAAGCUGGGCAAACUUGGUCAUUUAGAGGAAGUAAAAGUCGUAACA
Molecule: ribosomal RNA, 1757 nt
Filed under: Dipsacomyces acuminosporus
Lineage: Eukaryota; Fungi; Kickxellomycota; Kickxellomycetes; Kickxellales; Kickxellaceae
Description: SSU rRNA
Rfam family: Eukaryotic small subunit ribosomal RNA
Source: RNAcentral